This 433-nucleotide ribosomal RNA is filed under the name uncultured bacterium. RNAcentral describes it as "partial 16S ribosomal RNA". It matches the Rfam family "Bacterial small subunit ribosomal RNA", at positions 29 to 507 of the family's 1533-position model. The record is from RNAcentral.
AACGAACGCUGGCGGCAUGCCUAACACAUGCAAGUCGAACGAGACCUUCGGGUCUAGUGGCGCACGGGUGCGUAACGCGUGGGAACCUGCCCUUAGGUUCGGAAUAACUCCCCGAAAGGGGUGCUAAUACCGGAUAAUGUCUUCGGACCAAAGAUUUAUCGCCUUUGGAUGGGCCCGCGUUGGAUUAGCUAGUUGGUAGGGUAAAAGCCUACCAAGGCGACGAUCCAUAGCUGGUCUGAGAGGAUGAUCAGCCACACUGGGACUGAGACACGGCCCAGACUCCUACGGAAGGCAGCAGUGGGGAAUAUUGGACAAUGGGCGAAAGCCUAAUCAAGCAAUGCCGCGUGAGUGAUGAAGGCCUUAGGGUUGUAAAGCUCUUUUACCCGGGAUGAUAAUGACAGUACCGGGAGAAUAAGCGCCGGCUAACUCCGUG